RNAcentral lists this small RNA (117 nucleotides) under Marmota monax (woodchuck). Lineage: Eukaryota; Metazoa; Chordata; Mammalia; Rodentia; Sciuridae. The record is from RNAcentral.
UCCAGGUGCAGUGGUGCACACCUGGAGCCCCAGCUACCUGGGAGGCUGAGGCAGGAGGAUGGCUCGAGUCCAGGGGUUUAAGGCCAGCCUGGACAACAUAGCAAGACCCUGUCUCAA